Molecule: long non-coding RNA, 1308 nt
Organism: Capsicum annuum
Lineage: Eukaryota; Viridiplantae; Streptophyta; Magnoliopsida; Solanales; Solanaceae
Exons: 2
Source: RefSeq, a predicted model, not a curated record
GAUGUGACCACCUGUAUCAUGUUAUAUUAUUGAGAAAUGAGGUGUGGAGAAUUUGAGGCAAUUUUUAAUUUAAUAAAUUUAUGGAAUAAGUGAAACUCUACAGGGUGUUAAUUAUAACAAGUUUACGACUUAUAGAACAUCAUGCAUUUCUACUAUAUAGAAUAGCCAAAGCAUGGACGACCAAGGGCAGAAGCUGUAAAUAUGCACGUUAGUUAUGUCUGGCAGAUAUUUAGCUAUCCUUUCUUCAAAAUAUUCUAAAAACAACUACAUAUUUCUAAUAAGAACAGUCUUCAGUUAUCCUUCAUCUCUCAAGAAUACUUAGCAACACUGCUUUCAUCGUCAUCGGCGGCAACACAAUGACACUCGGAAAUAAUAGCACCAGUGAAGAGAUCCAUUUUGACAAAGUUACGGAAGGUUGUCAUACGCCGGUGUCUCCGUCAUUUGGACGAUUCAAUGUUGCAGCUCUUCCAUUAUUGGUUAAUUGCAUGAAGUAUUCUAAUCUGUUGGUUAUGGUCUGAUAGUUGUUAUUACUAACGCACUAAAUCUAGGUCUAGAGACAUUAACUAUCUCAUCUCUUUUCCCUUUGAAUGGGCAUUUUUUCUACUUUGCGAAAAAAUAAAGAGCUAAUUAUCUUUGAUAUUGUUGUAAUUAUUGUGAUUGAGUGAGGGUCAAAGCACACUUAAAAUAUCCCUUUCUUUUCAAAUUUCAUACCGCAUAUUGGUUGAUGGAAUUGGUUUUUGUCUUCUUCAUCUGGAUUGAGCUAGGUCCAUGUAUAGAGUAGUUGCUUGAUUCAAUAUUGUUGUAUGAAAGUUGGAAUUUUACUUGAUGAUUUUCGCCAAAAUUUGAGUCCUUACAAAUUACCUCUGAUCAUUUUUGUGUCUGUGCAGUUCUUUUCAUUCUGUAGAAUAUGUGAUGCACUUUCUGAAACUAAUUUGAUAAAUAGAAAAAGUAUUAGUUAGUUAAGCAUAGAGUGAAUAACACAUAAUCCAUUAAAUUGUACCUAUUUUACCUUUCCAAUGAGAUAGAGAACCUCUUUGGUCCCUGCAGUGUAGCUUAGCUGUCAACAAAGUGGGUAAAAGCAUGGGAGAUGAGAGUUCAAAUUAUAGCAGUGACAAGAUGAUGGGUGUUUUCUUGCUAUCUGCCCAGGUCUUGUGGAGGGUUACCGGAAUUUGUGCGGUGGGAGAUAACAAGUACUUGGUGGAAUAGUCGAGGGAAAUAGGAAGAUUGACGAUGACGUUACACAUCGUAUUGGAGCAAGAUGGAUGAAAUGGAAGCUCGCAUCUGGUAUCUUGUGUGAUAAGAAAGUGC